RNAcentral lists this long non-coding RNA (408 nucleotides) under Linum usitatissimum (flax). RNAcentral's name for it is "long non-coding RNA (LUSI_LNC001460)". Lineage: Eukaryota; Viridiplantae; Streptophyta; Magnoliopsida; Malpighiales; Linaceae. The record is from RNAcentral.
GCUCCAGUCCGCACCAGCAGCCAUUAAGAUCUCUGCCGACGUUUGGUCCCUCAAUUUAACAGCAAGAUGCAGAGGCGUCUCCCGACCAGGAACAUCCCGGCGAUCAAUGAUGGCGGAGAAUGCAUCAGCUUCCUGCUCAGAUGCAACAGACUGUUCUUCGGUAGUAACCUCACCAGCCUUGGCAAGGCGCGGCAGGUUCAAAAUAAUGCGUCUCAGGCCAGAAUAAUCACGUCGUGCGACUGCCAAAUGUGCAGGACUGUGAGAAUACUUGGAAACGUCUUCCAUGAGUAUCUAUUAUGUCCUUCGAUUUCCUCUAUCUAUCCCCUUAACCUACAAACUCUGUUCCAUUUCAGGCUAUUCAAACUCACCUUCCAACAAUGUAUACACCCUCAAGUAAAAAUUAGGGUU